CCCGCACAAGCGGUGAGUAUGUGGUUUAAUUCGAUGCAACGCGAAGAACCUUUACCUGGCCUUGACAUCCCGGGAAUUUCCUGGAAACAGGAGAGUGCUUUCAUUAGAGAGAACCUGGAGACAGGUGCUGCAUGGCUGUCGUCAGCUCGUGUCGUGAGAUGUUGGGUUAAGUCCCGCAACGAGCGCAACCCUUGCCUUUAGUUGCCAGCAGUUCGGCUGGGCACUCUAAAGGGACUGCCGGUGUCAAACCGGAGGAAGGUGGGGAUGACGUCAAGUCCUCAUGCCCCUUAUGACCUGGGCUACACACGUGCUACAAUGGUUGGUACAACGAGUUGCGAGUCGGUGACGGCGAGCUAAAUCUACUUAAAGCCAAUCUCAGUUCGGAUUGUAGGCUGCAACUCGCCUACAUGAAGUCGGAAUCGCUAGUAAUCGCGGAUCAGCACGCCGCGGUGAAUACGUUCCCGGGCCUU
This 470-nucleotide ribosomal RNA is filed under the name uncultured Desulfobulbus sp. RNAcentral describes it as "bacterial SSU rRNA". It matches the Rfam family "Bacterial small subunit ribosomal RNA", at positions 920 to 1382 of the family's 1533-position model. Lineage: Bacteria; Pseudomonadati; Thermodesulfobacteriota; Desulfobulbia; Desulfobulbales; Desulfobulbaceae. The record is from RNAcentral.